RNAcentral lists this ribosomal RNA (253 nucleotides) under uncultured bacterium. Its description in RNAcentral is "partial 16S ribosomal RNA". It matches the Rfam family "Bacterial small subunit ribosomal RNA", at positions 524 to 776 of the family's 1533-position model. The record is from RNAcentral.
GACGAACCGUGCGAACGUUGUUCGGAAUCAUUGGGCUUAAAGGGCGCGUAGGCGGGCCGCCGAGUCCGGGGUGAAAUCCUCCAGCUUAACUGGAGAACUGCCCCGGAUACUGGAGGUCUCGAGGAGGGUAGGGGCAUGCGGAACUGUGGGUGGAGCGGUGAAAUGCGUUGAUAUCCACAGGAACUCCGGUGGCGAAGGCGGCUCACUGGUCCGGAACUGACGCUGAGGCACGACAGCGUGGGGAGCAAACAGG